RNAcentral lists this ribosomal RNA (496 nucleotides) under uncultured Diversispora. RNAcentral's name for it is "SSU rRNA". It matches the Rfam family "Eukaryotic small subunit ribosomal RNA", at positions 569 to 1067 of the family's 1831-position model. The record is from RNAcentral. Lineage: Eukaryota; Fungi; Glomeromycota; Glomeromycetes; Diversisporales; Diversisporaceae.
AGCAGCCGCGGUAAUUCCAGCUCCAAUAGCGUAUAUUAAAGUUGUUGCAGUUAAAAAGCUCGUAGUUGAACUUCGGGGUUUACCCAUUGGUCAGGCUUAAUUGUCUGUACUGGUGAGAUAAAUCUCUACCUUCUGAGGAACUUUCAUGCCAUUUAGUUGGUGUGAUAGGAAAUCAGGACUGUUACUUUGAAAAAAUUAGAGUGUUUAAAGCAGGCUAACGUCUGAAUACAUUAGCAUGGAAUAAUGAAAUAGGACGGAUUGGUUCUAUUUCGUUGGUUUCUAGGAUCACCGUAAUGAUUAAUAGGGAUAGUUGGGGGCAUUAGUAUUCAAUUGUCAGAGGUGAAAUUCUUGGAUUUAUUGAAGACUAACUAUUGCGAAAGCAUUUGCCAAGGAUGUUUUCAUUAAUCAAGAACGAAAGUUAGGGGAUCGAGGACGAUCAGAUACCGUCGUAGUCUUAACCAUAAACUAUGCCGACUAGGGAUCGGAUGAUGUUAAU